This 440-nucleotide ribosomal RNA is filed under the name uncultured bacterium. RNAcentral describes it as "partial 16S ribosomal RNA". It matches the Rfam family "Bacterial small subunit ribosomal RNA", at positions 339 to 795 of the family's 1533-position model. The record is from RNAcentral.
CUACGGGUUGCUCCAGUGGGGAAUAUUGCACAAUGGGCGCAAGCCUGAUGCAGCAACGCCGCGUGAGCGAAGAAGGCUUUCGAGUCGUAAAGCUCUGUCCUAAGGGAAGAAUAAAUGACGGUACCUUAGGAGGAAGCCCCGGCUAACUACGUGCCAGCAGCCGCGGUAAUACGUAGGGGGCAAGCGUUAUCCGGAAUAACUGGGCGUAAAGGGUGCGUAGGCGGCUAAUCAAGUCAGAUGUGAAAGGCAGUGGCUCAACCAUUGUAAGCAUUUGAAACUGAAUAGCUUGAGUGCAGGAGAGGAAAGUGGAAUUCCUAGUGUAGCGGUGAAAUGCGUAGAUAUUAGGAGGAACACCAGUGGCGAAGGCGACUUUCUGGACUGUAACUGACGCUGAGGCACGAAAGCGUGGGGAGCGAACAGGAUUAGAUACCCGGGUAGUC